Molecule: ribosomal RNA, 238 nt
Filed under: Bacillus licheniformis
Lineage: Bacteria; Bacillati; Bacillota; Bacilli; Caryophanales; Bacillaceae
Description: partial 23S ribosomal RNA
Rfam family: Bacterial large subunit ribosomal RNA
Source: RNAcentral
GAGCUGUCCUUAGUACGAGAGGACCGGGAUGGAGGCACCGCUGGUGUACCAGUUGUUCUGCCAAGGGCAUCGCUGGGUAGCUAUGUGCGGACGGGAUAAGUGCUGAAAGCAUCUAAGCAUGAAGCCCCCCUCAAGAUGAGAUUUCCCAUUCCGCAAGGAAGUAAGAUCCCUGAAAGAUGAUCAGGUUGAUAGGUCUGAGGUGGAAGUGUGGCGACACAUGGAGCUGACAGAUACUAAU